RNAcentral lists this long non-coding RNA (389 nucleotides) under Mytilus galloprovincialis (Mediterranean mussel). The record is from RNAcentral. Lineage: Eukaryota; Metazoa; Mollusca; Bivalvia; Mytilida; Mytilidae.
GUGUGUAUUACAAGUAUGUUCAAUAUUAAAUUUGAACAUAAAGAGGCUUGAAUGUUAAGUGCAAUGCUAAAAUAUAUUUUUUUAAUAUUCGAAAGUUUUUUAUAGGUUAUAUAGCCUGGAAUAACGGUGAACAGGACGAAGGAAACGACAGGAUAGUAAUGUUUUCUAUAUUAUUACACAGAAAUGAAUUUAUCAUUAUAAUUCUGGCUGUUCUGUUCAUCAUGACUUUUAUGAUUUGUUUCUAUAUGGAAGCUUUAAAGAAACAGCAACGUUGUUAUGGAUUUCAUGACAAUUAUCCUCUAAACGAUGUGAAAUAUAUUGUGAAUCAGAUAAUAGACCAAGGUAUGACCUCUAGCAAACCGAUUAAUAAUAUGUACAACCAGUAUACC